This 1504-nucleotide long non-coding RNA is filed under the name Chrysemys picta bellii (western painted turtle). RNAcentral's name for it is "lncRNA (ENSCPBG00000006256.1)". Lineage: Eukaryota; Metazoa; Chordata; Testudines; Emydidae. The record is from RNAcentral.
AGGACAAGGACCUGACCAUGCACAGCACACAGUUUGUACGUCUAACAGCUGUUAAUGGACUGGCAAUCCCAGUGGUGGGGAGUCUCGAAACAGACAUAGAGUAUAUGGGCCAGACACUGCCAGGAAAAUGCAUCUUCAUCCUGAAAGACAAAGGCUCAAAAGGGAGCCAUAUAGGAGAAGGACUCCCAGGGAUUCUAGGGAUGAACAUCAUUAGUGAGCUGAAGGAGCUACUCUUACCAGGAGAAGGAACCAGGAGGAUGAACUGUCACGAGCGCUCUAUGAAGAAUGCUGUGCUGAGUAGAGUACUGGCUCGAGAGGAGAGGCAGAGUCUUUCCCUGGGCCCCACAAGGCAUAUGGGAAAUGGUAAAGUGGGCAGAGAACGGAAGACCAUUAUUCCUCCUUGGAGAGGGAAGAUCCUUGACGAACACAGCUGUGUACCAGGAAAUGAGCUGCAGGUGACGAGGGAGAAGGGAGGACGAGUUACCUUUCUUCAAGAAAGAUGUGAUGGGAGACUGCCCGUUCCAGUUCAAGCGGCACGCCAAGGGCUGAUUCCUGCACAUGUGGCUAACAUAAGGGCGUUGCCAGAGAAGCAUCAAGAAGUCUUUUCUAAGGAUGAGGUGACCAAUUAUGAUGACCGGGUCAAAGGUCACCAUGACAGGCUGACGACAGCCUGGAAAGUUGCUCUCAGUACAACUAAAGACAUAGCCCAAAGUAGGAAAAGGACUUAUGAUAGCAAGUCCAGUGGGGCUCUCAUCAGAUCUGGUGACCGUGUACUAGUUCGUAACCAUAGACACCGGGGGCGUAAUAAAAUACAGGACAAAUGGGAGUCAAAUCCCCCCACUGUGGUCACCCACAACAAUCCCAAACUGCCAGUGUACGCUAACCAGCCUGAACGAGGAGGUCCUGGGAUAGUAGAACAUAGGGACCAGUUGAAACAUUGCACUCUUAGUCCAGACAGGGACCAUAGGACGUGUAGAUCAGUACACCCCGAGGAGGCUGAAACCAAUUGGGAAAUGGUUCUAGUCCCACAAACCGAAUAUAGAGUGGGGCAAACCCAAACCCUAACGAGAAUGGCCAGAUCCUUCAAACUGACCCAGUAUUACCCAAGGAUAGGAAAAUAGAAAAUAUGGGUAAUGAACCGCCAGUCUUAAGAAGGUCCCAGAGGGCUAAUAAGGGUGUACUUCCUGUUUGAACUUAAAGAUAAUUAUGUUAUUGGUUCUAUGUAGUGUUUUAAUGACUAUUGUUAUGUAUGGUAUUAAGAAGUAAAUGUGGAAUGUUAAAUAUGUUAAAUGUUCUUUUGAUAAUUGCUAAUGGGUUGUUGAUAUACAAUGACAUGGGUUAUGUUGUUACCAUGGGGCCCGGAUGUACCAGUGUAAAUAUUGUGGAUGUGGCAGUAUUUUAGCAAGGGGGAAUGUAAGGGGACUGUUGCCCCCUUACUAACAUUCAGUGGGGGUGUUUUGGUUGCUAGCUCCCAGCACUAAAAGGGGGGGGGUCGAUGGCAAAU